RNAcentral lists this long non-coding RNA (383 nucleotides) under Medicago truncatula (barrel medic). RNAcentral describes it as "lncRNA gene9653". The record is from RNAcentral. Lineage: Eukaryota; Viridiplantae; Streptophyta; Magnoliopsida; Fabales; Fabaceae.
AUGUGGGACUCCCACAUUCUAUUUUUUCAAUUCACACAAGAUUAGAUCAAAGUAUAAUUACAUGGUGUUUAAUCUUCCAAUUUUUCAUCCAACAUCACAUCAAUGUUCCAACACGUUGAUUUUUAUAAUUUCAUUGUCAAUCAAACAUAUACAAAUGGUAAAUCCUCAUGAACUUAAUUCAGUCUGUAGGGAUAAUACAUAACAUAUGUAAGGUCUGGGUUUCAAACCUCGUCCACCACUAAUAAGUCACACCGACAAAGAGGGACGGCCUCACGUUUAAGGGUGUGUGGGCCAUGGCGCUCACUUUGCUUUGGAAAAAUUGAUUUAAUACUUGAUCAUACACACUAAUAGAUCAAAUUAAAAGGAUAAAUGUGGAGGAUAAA